AGUGAACGCUGGCGGCGUGCUUGACACAUGCAAGUCGAACGAGAACGGAUUAUAGCUUGCUAUAAUUGUCAGCUAAGUGGCGCACGGGUGAGUAAUGUAUAGGUAAUAUGCCUCUUACUAAGGGAUAACAAAUGGAAACGUUUGCUAAUACCUUAUACUCCUUAUUAACAGAAGUUAAUAAGGGAAAGAUUUAUUGGUAAGAGAUUAGCCUGUAUUGUAUCAGUUAGUUGGUGGGGUAAUGGCUUACCAAGACUAUGACACAUAACUGGUUUGAGAGGAUGAUCAGUCACACUGGAACUGAGACACGGUCCAGACUCCUACGGGAGGCAGCAGUGGGGAAUAUUGCACAAUGGACGAAAGUCUGAUGCAGCAACGCCGCGUGGAGGAUGACACAUUUCGGUGCGUAAACUCCUUUUAUAUGAGAAGAUAAUGACGGUAUUAUAUGAAUAAGCACCGGUUAACUCCGUGCCAGCAGCCGCGGUAA
Molecule: ribosomal RNA, 484 nt
Filed under: uncultured bacterium
Lineage: Bacteria
Description: partial 16S ribosomal RNA
Rfam family: Bacterial small subunit ribosomal RNA
Source: RNAcentral